GUCUCUGUAGCUCAGUUGGUAGAGCAGCUGACUCUUAAUCAGCGGGUCCACGGUUCGAGCCCGUGCGGGGACAC
This 74-nucleotide transfer RNA is filed under the name Puia dinghuensis. RNAcentral's name for it is "tRNA-Lys". It matches the Rfam family "tRNA". Rfam says of the family: Transfer RNA (tRNA) molecules are approximately 80 nucleotides in length. Their secondary structure includes four short double-helical elements and three loops (D, anti-codon, and T loops). Further hydrogen bonds mediate the characteristic L-shaped molecular structure. tRNAs have two regions of fundamental functional importance: the anti-codon, which is responsible for specific mRNA codon recognition, and the 3' end, to which the tRNAs corresponding amino acid is attached (by aminoacyl-tRNA synthetases). tRNAs cope with the degeneracy of the genetic code in two manners: having more than one tRNA (with a specific anti-codon) for a particular amino acid; and 'wobble' base-pairing, i.e. permitting non-standard base-pairing at the 3rd anti-codon position. The record is from RNAcentral. Lineage: Bacteria; Pseudomonadati; Bacteroidota; Chitinophagia; Chitinophagales; Chitinophagaceae.